CUGGGGUUCGGAUCAGAUAUCUUGGAGUUGUAAAGAGAAAUGUGGGCCGUGAGGGAGUCGAGGAGUUGCUGUUUCGAAUUCAUUGGAAAUUUGAAGGUAUGGAACUGGAACAGGUCGUGUAAUGGAGGACGAGAAGAAUAUAUAGACACGAAAGGAACGGAAGGAGAGAAAGCGUAACGCAGAAGUGGACGAAUAAUUGUUCUAAUUAUUAGGUAUAAGUAGCGUCCGUUUGAGUCCGUGAGUUAAUAAUGCAUUUUAGAAUACUAUAUUGAGUUAAAAAAAUUUGGAAAAAUAUAAAUUUCCGUAUUAUUGGUUGAGAAGCAUAAAGAAAGAUGCAUUGCGGAGAUAAUUAAGAAUGUCAGCAAGAUGAGUCGAGUUGGCUCACAAGUUCAAAUUCGAGGCUCGAGUUUGGCUCGAAUAAAAUGAUGCGAGCGUUUUUUUAGAUUCGAGUCGAGCCGAGCUUUUGCUCUACCAAAAAUUUAGGCUCAACUCAAGCUUUCAGUUUGAGCCUUUUCGAGCCUAGCUGAUUUUUUUCUUCAAGGUAGCACAAAAUGACUAAAAAGGCAACAUUUUGCUGUUUUUCCUAUUUUUUUUUUAAAGGCACGUGAUUCUGAGCUGACGAACCACUCGGACCAACUUGAGCUCGACCUGUCCCUCCCAAAAUGGGGCUCGACUUUUUUCGGACCAAGCCGACGAGCUGAAUUGCCAUCUCUAGAAAUAAUAGAGAUCAAAGUGUCUGAUGUUUCCUCGUUUCUAAUAUUAAUUUAUUAUUCAAAUAUACUUAAAUAAGUAAAAUAAUGCAUAACUUGAAAACCUUAUAGGAACCGUUUACAAUUUUUUUGAAAAUUUCAACAAGAAUUCUCAAAUCAUAAAGUGUGAGUUUUUUUUUUAAGACUUAUUCCAUUUUUCAAUUUUAGCGAUUGAGCAUUUUGUUGAGCUAGACUCUAAAAUAAGAAUUGUACUGAUUAAACAAAAAUGUGCGAGCGCUCUCGUGUCCAGGCCUACUUUUUUUAGAAUAUUGGUAUUUAAUCAAAUAUAAAGGUGAAAUUCCAAACCUAACUCCAAAUCUGCAAUUCAGCCCACGCACACUCCCACGUAUUCAAUAAUUGGAAAAUGUGUUUUUGAUUUGAAUGUAGCCCAUAUAUUAUUAUGCUAAUAAGGAUUAGAAUAUUAUUAACGGAUGUGAGCUGCAACGUCUAAUAUCCAUCAGCCACAUGACCAUGGUAUAAAUUGAUUUUGAAACACAAGUUCCUAACUCAAUACAAAAAGAGCCACAAGUCAAAAUAUUAAUAGAGAAGAAAAAAUACCCGUUUCAUUAUGGCCUGCUUGGGAGUUUCGACGUACUUGUUAUUGACCUUUUUUAAAGUACUGAUUUUAAGCAUUUAUGAACGGAUCGAUUUUGAGUGUUUUUUAGUCUCCGUUUGUUUCCCAUUAAUUUUCAUUCCAUUACAUUACAUUUUUUUCUUUUCUAUUUUCAACCACACAAUUUUUUUAAAAAUAAUAUUACACGAAAAUUCCUAGGUAAGGAACAAGACGACGUCUUAGAACUUCUACAAGCUUCUCAUCGUUAGAGGGAAAACCUUUCAUUCUUUUUUCAAUCACUCAUUUCUUAAAAAAAAAUAUUAUCCCACUCCUUUCAUUUCUACAAAAUGGGGGCCAAAGAGGAGCUUAGUAACUGAUUGUAAAAUUGUCCAACUCUUUUCUAUUUUCAACCACGCAAUUUUUUUAAAAAUAAUAUUACAUGAAAAUUCCUAGGUAAGGAACAAGACGACGUCUUAGAACUUCUACAAGCUUCUCAUCGUUAGAGGGAAAACCUUUCAUUCUUUUUUCAAUCACUCAUUUCUUAAAAAAAAAAUAUUAUCCCACUCCUUUCAUUUCUACAAAAUGGGGGCCAAAGAGGAGCUUAGUAACUGAUUGUAAAAUUGUCCAAGUCAUGCUUGUGAGUUUAUUAUUCAUUGGCUCUACAGUUUUCUAAAAGAAUAAAAUUACGAGUUCGUUUGGUGCCCAUUUUUUAUCAAAAUGCAUUUUUCUCUCUCUUCUUUUCAACCACACAUUCUUUAUUAAAAUAAUAUUACACGUAAAUCAAAAACUUUUCUUUAUUUUUCAACCACACAUUUCCCAUCAAUUUACUAUUCAAAAAUGUAUUUUUACAUAAAAAUAUCUCCCAAACACCCUCUACAUAUAUUUCUCUUAUGGUGAAAUUUAAAAUUUAUAGUUUUUGUAUAAUUUUUUUUGCUCAUAAGUGAUAUUUUACUUAUAGAUAAUUUUAUUACAUAUAAGUUAAUAUUUAAUUUAAAGAUUAAAUAAAAUUAAAUAUUUACUUAAAAUUUUAAAUUUGUAUUUUUACUUAGAAGUAAAUCUUACAAUUACAAGUUAAUUUCGUACUUUUAAGUAGUUUUUACAUAUAAUCGAUUUUUUAACUUAUAAGUAACUGUUAUAUUUUAAAAGUAAAAUUUUUGUCUUAUCAAUAAUAUUUUUACUUUAUAAGCAAAUUUUUAGAUAAAAUUAAUUUUUUAUCUUAUAACUAAUAAUUUACUUAUAAGUGAUUUUUAAUUAUAAUAUAAGUUAUAGGCUUAUAAGUAAAUUUUUUAGGGUCUGUUUGAAUGCAAUGAUAGAAUUUGGAUGGAAAGAAAACGAAUUUCAGGGAAUUGAAUCGUUUAAAACUUGAUUUACUAGGAACUGUCAAUUAAAUGUGUUUGAUUAGUAUAAUUUUUUAUCUGAAAAAUGUUGAAAUUUUGUAUCUUUUGAUAAGUGUUUGACUUUGUUUUUCAUGAAAGUUGUCAAUUAAAGAAAUAUAAAUUAUUACAAUUAUACAUAGAAUUUGUUUUCAUUGCAAAAAAAAGAAAAAUCAUUGGAAAUUUGAAGGUAUGGAACUGGAACAGGUCGUGUAAUGGAGGACGAGAAGAAUAUAUAGACACGAAAGGAACGGAAGGAGAGAGAGCGUAACGCAGAAGUGGACGAAUAAUUGUU
This 2970-nucleotide long non-coding RNA is filed under the name Olea europaea (common olive). RNAcentral describes it as "long non-coding RNA (OEUR_LNC006173)". Lineage: Eukaryota; Viridiplantae; Streptophyta; Magnoliopsida; Lamiales; Oleaceae. The record is from RNAcentral.